GAAACCUCCAUACCAUAAUCUGCACAUGAAGAGAAAUAAUGAAUAACAGAUGUCUUGCAGCCUCUUGCAACUUAAAAACUAUGACACGAUGAUGCAUGCACACAAAUUAUAAAGCUAUCUUAUUAAUCAUCGUUACCCUUCAGAAACUAAAUGUAAAAUUCCAAAUGCAUUUUAUAUAAACAUUGGAUAUCAAAGCCAUGCCACAAGUUCUCUGCCAGAGUUUAAAUCAAAGACCUUAGAUCCCAUCUAACUACUAUAAGUGGAUUGAAAACCGUAUAUUGUAAAGCCAGACGUCUAAAAGAAGAAAAUAUCAUCCUCCUUCAAGAUAAGAACUGAACAAAAAAUAUUACAAGAAAUAUUAUAAAAUGAGAAACAUCAAACUGAUCUUUCAAACCUCAAAUAAACCACAGACAAAGUUCAGCAUAAUGUUGUUUGAACAUGCCAAAAAUAUUUGGAAAAGUGGAGCUCAAAUGUUUGUACUAACUUUAUAAAAUUAUAACUAAUAAAUAUAAGUCAGAGAAGAGGACAUUGCUUUUACUGUCGUAAUAUUUAAAAGGUAAAAUUUACAUUUUGAUUGCGAUCCUCACUUUAAAACAGACUUUAAAAACGUUUCCUAAUUUAAUAAAAUUAUAAUGAACAUACACAUCAUCAAUGCAAAAAAAAUCCUACCAAAACACAGAUAAUGAAAUGCCAGGUGUUCUGAAUAUCAAUAUGAAUCAGUUUACUUCCAUGCAAUUUCUAGUUCAUAGGGGAAAACUCUGCCUUUUACAACUAAAACAGCCACAAUGAUUCUUUCAGUUUAUAUAAAAGCCAUCAUUGACAAUCUUCAAGAAACUAGAAGUUUACUUUGAAGCAAAUCAUAACUAAAUGGUUAAUAUCUUCUAUACAAUGCGUGGUGAAUAAAACGCUAUAUACAAUGGAAGAACAAGAAAAAUCUAAUAAGAAAACACUACAUACUAGAUAGAAAUGCAACAAAAAGUAAUAGGCUAAUUGCAAUGUCUGUUUAUAGU
This 1010-nucleotide unclassified non-coding RNA is filed under the name Hevea brasiliensis (rubber tree). The record is from RNAcentral. Lineage: Eukaryota; Viridiplantae; Streptophyta; Magnoliopsida; Malpighiales; Euphorbiaceae.